GAUGAACGCUGGCGGCGUGCCUAAUACAUGCAAGUCGAGCGAACAGACGAGGAGCUUGCUCCUUCGACGUUAGCGGCGGACGGGUGAGUAACACGUAGGUAACCUACCUAUAAGACUGGGAUAACUUCGGGAAACCGGAGCUAAUACCGGAUAAUAUUUCGAACCGCAUGGUUCGAUAGUGAAAGAUGGCUUUGCUAUCACUUAUAGAUGGACCUGCGCCGUGUUAGCUAGUUGGUAAGGUAACGGCUUACCAAGGAAACGAUACGUAGCCGACCUGAGAGGGUGAUCGGCCACACUGGAACUGAGACACGGUCCAGACUCCUACGGGAGGCAGCAGUAGGGAAUCUUCCGCAAUGGGCGAAAGCCUGACGGAGCAACGCCGCGUGAGUGAUGAAGGUCUUCGGAUCGUAAAACUCUGUUAUUAGGGAAGAACAAACGUGUAAGUAACUGUGCACGUCUUGACGGUACCUAAUCAGAAAGCCACGGCUAACUACGUG
Molecule: ribosomal RNA, 497 nt
Filed under: uncultured bacterium
Lineage: Bacteria
Description: partial 16S ribosomal RNA
Rfam family: Bacterial small subunit ribosomal RNA
Source: RNAcentral